Molecule: transfer RNA, 62 nt
Filed under: Ictidomys tridecemlineatus (thirteen-lined ground squirrel)
Lineage: Eukaryota; Metazoa; Chordata; Mammalia; Rodentia; Sciuridae
Description: Spermophilus tridecemlineatus (thirteen-lined ground squirrel) tRNA
Rfam family: tRNA
About the family: Transfer RNA (tRNA) molecules are approximately 80 nucleotides in length. Their secondary structure includes four short double-helical elements and three loops (D, anti-codon, and T loops).
Source: Rfam by way of RNAcentral
GGAGUUGUGGCUCAGUGGUAGAGCACUUGCCUAGCAUGCAUGAGGCACCGAAUUCAAUCCCU